RNAcentral lists this ribosomal RNA (460 nucleotides) under uncultured bacterium. RNAcentral's name for it is "partial 16S ribosomal RNA". It matches the Rfam family "Bacterial small subunit ribosomal RNA", at positions 338 to 795 of the family's 1533-position model. The record is from RNAcentral.
CCUACGGGAGGCUGCAGUGAGGAAUAUUGGUCAAUGGACGAGAGUCUGAACCAGCCAAGUAGCGUGAAGGAUGACUGCCCUAUGGGUUGUAAACUUCUUUUAUAAAGGAAUAAAACGAGGCACGUGUGCCCUUUUGCAUGUACUUUAUGAAUAAGGAUCGGCUAACUCCGUGCCAGCAGCCGCGGUAAUACGGAGGAUCCGAGCGUUAUCCGGAUUUAUUGGGUUUAAAGGGAGCGUAGAUGGGUUGUUAAGUCAGUUGUGAAAGUUUGCGGCUCAACCGUAAAAUUGCAAUUGAUACUGGCAGUCUUGAGUACAGUUGAGGUAGGCGAAAUUCGUGGUGUAGCGGUGAAAUGCUUAGAUAUCACGAAGAACCCCGAUUGCGAAGGCAGCUUACUAAACUGUGACUGACAUUGAUGCUCGAAAGUGUGGGUAUCAAACAGGAUUAGAUACCCGUGUAGUC